RNAcentral lists this long non-coding RNA (232 nucleotides) under Elaeis guineensis (African oil palm). RNAcentral describes it as "long non-coding RNA (EGUI_LNC078738)". Lineage: Eukaryota; Viridiplantae; Streptophyta; Magnoliopsida; Arecales; Arecaceae. The record is from RNAcentral.
GGCUGACCCAACUGGGUAGCAAAGGUCUUUAUGGACCCAUGGUUCAUGUUCGGGUUCACCCAUGGUGGGCUUAAGGUCUACUAAACUCGAUGCAAAGUUUGGAUCUAUUCUCACUAAUCGACCAGAUAUCUUUGUCUAAGAAAAAAUUUGAGAAUUUUCAAUUAUUUUUGUAAUUAUUUUUUUUUAAGAGAAGAGGAAAUAGAUGAGAAAAGAAUUCUAAAGAUGGGGGCCU